GGGGUGUAGCUCCAAUUGGCAGAGCAGCGGAUUCCAAAUCCGCGUGUUGGGAGUUCGAAUCUCUCCACCUGCCA
This 74-nucleotide transfer RNA is filed under the name Vibrio astriarenae. Its description in RNAcentral is "tRNA-Trp". It matches the Rfam family "tRNA". Rfam says of the family: Transfer RNA (tRNA) molecules are approximately 80 nucleotides in length. Their secondary structure includes four short double-helical elements and three loops (D, anti-codon, and T loops). Further hydrogen bonds mediate the characteristic L-shaped molecular structure. tRNAs have two regions of fundamental functional importance: the anti-codon, which is responsible for specific mRNA codon recognition, and the 3' end, to which the tRNAs corresponding amino acid is attached (by aminoacyl-tRNA synthetases). tRNAs cope with the degeneracy of the genetic code in two manners: having more than one tRNA (with a specific anti-codon) for a particular amino acid; and 'wobble' base-pairing, i.e. permitting non-standard base-pairing at the 3rd anti-codon position. The record is from RNAcentral. Lineage: Bacteria; Pseudomonadati; Pseudomonadota; Gammaproteobacteria; Vibrionales; Vibrionaceae.